This 1291-nucleotide ribosomal RNA is filed under the name uncultured bacterium. Its description in RNAcentral is "bacterial SSU rRNA". It matches the Rfam family "Bacterial small subunit ribosomal RNA", at positions 102 to 1428 of the family's 1533-position model. The record is from RNAcentral.
ACGGGUGAGUAACGCGUGAGAAUCUGCCCUCAGGAGGGGGAUAACGGCUGGAAACGGCCGCUAAUACCCCAUAUGCCGAGAGGUGAAAUGAAUUUCGCCUGAGGAUGAGCUCGCGUCUGAUUAGCUAGUUGGUAAGGUAAGAGCUUACCAAGGCAUCGAUCAGUAGCUGGUCUGAGAGGAUGAUCAGCCACACUGGGACUGAGACACGGCCCAGACUCCUACGGGAGGCAGCAGUGGGGAAUUUUCCGCAAUGGGCGAAAGCCUGACGGAGCAACGCCGCGUGAGGGAUGAAGGCCUCUGGGCUGUAAACCUCUUUUCUCAAGGAAGAAGACAUGACGGUACUUGAGGAAUAAGCCACGGCUAAUUCCGUGCCAGCAGCCGCGGUAAUACGGGAGUGGCAAGCGUUAUCCGGAAUUAUUGGGCGUAAAGCGUCCGCAGGCGGCCUUUUAAGUCUGUUGUUAAAGCGUGGAGCUCAACUCCAUUUCGGCAAUGGAAACUGGAAGGCUGGAGUGUGGUAGGGGCAGAGGGAAUUCCCGGUGUAGCGGUGAAAUGCGUAGAUAUCGGGAAGAACACCAGUGGCGAAGGCGCUCUGCUGGGCCAUAACUGACGCUCAUGGACGAAAGCCAGGGGAGCGAAAGGGAUUAGAUACCCCUGUAGUCCUGGCCGUAAACGAUGAACACUAGGUGUCGGGGGAAUCGACCCCCUCGGUGUCGUAGCCAACGCGUUAAGUGUUCCGCCUGGGGAGUACGCACGCAAGUGUGAAACUCAAAGGAAUUGACGGGGGCCCGCACAAGCGGUGGAGUAUGUGGUUUAAUUCGAUGCAACGCGAAGAACCUUACCAGGGUUUGACAUCCUGCGAAUCUUUUGGAAACAGAAGAGUGCCUUCGGGAGCGCAGAGACAGGUGGUGCAUGGCUGUCGUCAGCUCGUGUCGUGAGAUGUUGGGUUAAGUCCCGCAACGAGCGCAACCCACGUCUUUAGUUGCCAGCAUUUAGUUGGGCACUCUAGAGAGACCGCCGGUGAUAAACCGGAGGAAGGUGUGGAUGACGUCAAGUCAUCAUGCCCCUUACAUCCUGGGCUACACACGUACUACAAUGCUACGGACAAAGGGCAGCAAACUCGCGAGAGCUAGCAAAUCCCAUAAACCGUGGCUCAGUUCAGAUCGUAGGCUGCAACUCGCCUACGUGAAGGAGGAAUCGCUAGUAAUCGCAGGUCAGCAUACUGCGGUGAAUACGUUCCCGGGCCUUGUACACACCGCCCGUCACACCAUGGAAGUUGGCCACGCCCGAAGCC